Molecule: ribosomal RNA, 1057 nt
Filed under: Salmonella enterica
Lineage: Bacteria; Pseudomonadati; Pseudomonadota; Gammaproteobacteria; Enterobacterales; Enterobacteriaceae
Description: partial 23S ribosomal RNA
Rfam family: Bacterial large subunit ribosomal RNA
Source: RNAcentral
CUGCGGCAGCGACGCUUAUGCGUUGUUGGGUAGGGGAGCGUUCUGUAAGCCUGCGAAGGUGGCCUGUGAGGGUUGCUGGAGGUAUCAGAAGUGCGAAUGCUGACAUAAGUAACGAUAAAGCGGGUGAAAAGCCCGCUCGCCGGAAGACCAAGGGUUCCUGUCCAACGUUAAUCGGGGCAGGGUGAGUCGACCCCUAAGGCGAGGCCGAAAGGCGUAGUCGAUGGGAAACGGGUUAAUAUUCCCGUACUUGGUGUUACUGCGAAGGGGGGACGGAGAAGGCUAUGUUGGCCGGGCGACGGUUGUCCCGGUUUAAGCGUGUAGGUGUGUGUUCCAGGUAAAUCCGGUUCACUUUAACACUGAGGCGUGACGACGAGGCACUACGGUGCUGAAGCAACAAAUGCCCUGCUUCCAGGAAAAGCCUCUAAGCAUCAGGUAACAUCAAAUCGUACCCCAAACCGACACAGGUGGUCAGGUAGAGAAUACCAAGGCGCUUGAGAGAACUCGGGUGAAGGAACUAGGCAAAAUGGUGCCGUAACUUCGGGAGAAGGCACGCUGACACGUAGGUGAAGUGAUUUACUCAUGGAGCUGAAGUCAGUCGAAGAUACCAGCUGGCUGCAACUGUUUAUUAAAAACACAGCACUGUGCAAACACGAAAGUGGACGUAUACGGUGUGACGCCUGCCCGGUGCCGGAAGGUUAAUUGAUGGGGUCAGCGCAAGCGAAGCUCCUGAUCGAAGCCCCGGUAAACGGCGGCCGUAACUAUAACGGUCCUAAGGUAGCGAAAUUCCUUGUCGGGUAAGUUCCGACCUGCACGAAUGGCGUAAUGAUGGCCAGGCUGUCUCCACCCGAGACUCAGUGAAAUUGAACUCGCUGUGAAGAUGCAGUGUACCCGCGGCAAGACGGAAAGACCCCGUGAACCUUUACUAUAGCUUGACACUGAACAUUGAGCCUUGAUGUGUAGGAUAGGUGGGAGGCUUUGAAGCGUGGACGCCAGUCUGCGUGGAGCCGACCUUGAAAUACCACCCUUUAAUGUUUGAUGUUCUAACGUGGACCCGUUA